CAAACACGUCUGAAGCGUCACAGUGACUUGAAACAGACACUUCAAUGAGAGUGAAUCAUUACUAAAUAAAACUACAUAAAAGGUAAAAAGCUGCAGAUCAACCAUGUCGAAGACAUCGAUUGAGAUUUAUGAAACAGAGAUGAGUGAUGAGAUGCAGCGUGAGGUUCUUCAGGUCGCUCUUCUGGCUGUGAAUAUGUACACAAGCGGAUAUGACAUUGCUCGCUACAUCGUGAAGGAAUUUGACAAAAAGCAUGGGAACUACUGGCACUGUGUUGUCGGGAACGUUAGUUACUACGGUACAUUUCAAGGGAACAAUUAUAUCUGCUUCUCUGUUGGUGGCAAAGGAAUUACACUCUUCAAAUCUGCACAAUAAACAACACACAAACAGCAAACACAACAUUCUGACAUCUCACAAGUGUAAAAGCCUUACUGCAGUGGGAAUAAAAGAAUGCCUGUACCGACUGAUUUCAGGUAGGGAUACUAUAAUUCAUACCAGAAGAAAAAAAACCAAUAAUCUUACUUUGACAAUGUCAUUCAAUGAGUUUCAGUGUUUAGCAAAGUACAGAUUCAAAUUUUUUUUGAGGAAAAAAUCAUAUUCAAAUGUAUCAAAUAUGAUCAGGCUUUUGAGGAAGGUUUAUUUGUUCAUCUGUCAGUCAUAGUUCUAUUGCAUUAUGUUUUAAACCUACAGAGAUUAAUAAUAAAACUAAGCAUUUAAAUAUCAUCUUACUAAGACAUUAUUGGCAGAUUUUGACAUUUAUAUGCAUUUUGUGUAAGUAUCUGAUUUUCUUAUAUAAAGAUCUCAUUGAUUUACAUUACAAGGAUCGACUCCAACUCUCUAACAUAAUGGUUAGAGAGUCGGACUUGUAAAGUUUGCAGGUUUGAGUCUCAGUACUGCCAGGAAAUGUAGGUUUGGGCAGUGAAUGAACAGCGCUUUCUGAAGUAUAUUAAAUCAAGAUCUCCAAAACCCGUUUCGUGACCGAAUCUUUUGAACAGAUUCCAUUUAAAUCAACUGGUUGGUUUACAAAUAACAUUGAUUGAAUGAUUCAUUUGUAAAUUCGACUGAUAGAAGAUUAAACUUGCUGUAGCUAACAACUCAAUGUGAUUCAGUGAUAAGGACAUAGCAAGUGAAGUUAACAAAGAACACCUGAAUUUGUCUCUGAUUCUCAGAUUAAGCUCUAGACUGAGUUCAACCUAUAUUUAAGCUUAUUUGUGUGGCAUUCCUCUCUUUUACAGUUUUAUAAGUGGAUUGAUGACAUUCGCAGAUGAAUCCAUGCACUACUUUGUAUGCUUUUUAAACAUGAAUGAGCCAGUGUGGGGCAGGACAACACGUGCAGCCCCGCCCCGACCUGCAGGCGGCAGCCAGGUGUACUUGCCCAUAGAACCGGGCCUGAAACGAUAACAUUUCCCGCCCUUCUUCUGGAGAAUUACCUAUCUGUUGCUAUAGAGACCAAUGACAAUGACAAAUGAAAUAAACAGAGCUUUAAGAAAUACUACAGAAAUUAACCAGUAUGAUUACAUAGUAAUCAGAUGUUAAAUAACACUAGAUAUUCUUCAUUGCAAAUAGAUAAACCAAUAACUCAACUCAACCAAUGAGCUCGGAGCCCUCUCCCCGGACAGCACGCCAAAUACGCCUAACUUUACUCUAUUUAAUUAUAUAGAUAUGUGAUCUCGUGAAAUGCAGAGAAGCGCUGAGAACUGGAUGACAUAGAAUCGUGCCACUCCAGCCGCAGCAGCCAAUCACACACUCUGGAGGAACGCUUCUACGUCAGUUUUACGUCCUUGUGUUGUUAAUAUUUUUCUCUCUUUUCCCGAGUCUCUCUUUUUUACCUUCACUUUCAUAGUCGCGUCCCAUUGUUUCACGCCGCUCACCUGGUCCCCGUGUUCCUGUGACGUCACUGACCAGCUCUGCAAUGCGGUCUGUCCUGUGGCAUAAAAGGGGAGAGUAGACCAUAGAUAUUAUAAUAAACACUAGACGCCCUAUUAGCCGCUGGACCGUACGUCAACGGCGCCGCCAUAUUGUGCGGGGCAACGUUCCCAUAACGCUAACUGGAAUUGAGAAAAAUGCCUGCUUCGUGUGCUGCUUGGGGCUGUGCAAAUCGCUGCACAAUUGAAAACAGGUCUUGGGGAAUGACCUUUCACCUGUAAGACUGAACAUUUGUUUCUGGUUGUAUUUGGUUAUUAUAUAAUUAUAUUGAUAGUAGUUGGCCACCGGAGUCAGUCAGACUAAAAUAGCUAGCGAUGUCGCUAGUUAGCUGUGAAAGUUGAGACAUGAGUUUACAUGAUUUCUAAUAUAGUUUUAGCUUAUAUCUUAUUUUAUAAACUAAAUUUCCUGAAGUUUAAAUAUGCAUCUUUAUUUUCUUAGUGCUACAAAAAUACAGAAAGCAGCCUGUGUGAUUUGUAUUUGAUGAUUUUUUUUUUUUUUUUUUUUUUCAUUUUAUCAAUGGUGGUCAAUUCUAAGCUCAAGAAAAGCUAAAAUUGGGUUUAAGACAGAAAAUGCCUUUUCCACAAUAAGAAAACUUUAUUUCAUUUAAUGUGAAAAUUAAAUUGUAUCUCAGUAUGGGCGUUUUCAUAAUUCUUAUGCAAGAAUAAAGCAGCCAAAUACAUGACAAGCCUGAGCUUUGACUAUUUCUUAUUAAAAUAAAUAUUUUAUAUGUCUAACUAUAGAGAUUUUAAGUAACUAGAACUUUUUGUACACCACGUACAUUAUGAACAACUGAAAUCAAUUGAUAAAUGUAAAUGUUAUUUUUGUUUUUAUCCAGAAAAAACGCAGUUCGCCCGUUUACUUGCAUUUGUUGACAGCGCAGUCUUGCCCCGCACAAUAUGGCGGACUCGUUGACAUAUCGCAGCAACAGUCCAAAGAGGCCAAUAGGGCGUCUAGUGUUUAUUAUAAUGUCUAUGGAGUAGACACCACUCACGAGGCCCGAGAUGCUGCGAAAUAUUGGUUUUUGUGUGAUAGCCCAAUUCUGUGUAUAGUAGUGAUGGGAGAAACAAAGCUUUUCAAAAUAACGAAAGCCUCGUUUACUGAAAUCACGUGACUUUGGCAGUUUGAAACACGCUCAGAACCACUGAUUCGAAACAAAAGAUUCGUAAAGGUUUCGAAGCUUCAUGACGCAGUGUUUCGAAAGCGGCCA
Long non-coding RNA from Ctenopharyngodon idella (grass carp), 3131 nucleotides. RefSeq lists it as uncharacterized. The record is from RefSeq and is a predicted model, not a curated record. The transcript is spliced from 3 exons. NCBI's taxonomy places the organism in Eukaryota, Metazoa, Chordata, Actinopteri, Cypriniformes, Xenocyprididae.